UACGUAGGGGGCAAGCGUUGUCCGGAAUCAUUGGGCGUAAAGAGCGUGUAGGCGGACUGGAAGGUCUGGUGUGAAAGCCCGGGGCUCAACCCCGGAGGGUCACUGGAAACCGACAGUCUUGAGUCCGGAAGAGGAGAGUGGAAUUCCUGGUGUAGCGGUGGAAUGCGCAGAUAUCAGGAGGAACACCAAUGGCGAAGGCAGCUCUCUGGUACGUGACUGACGCUGAGACGCGAAAGCGUGGGGAGCGAACAGG
This 253-nucleotide ribosomal RNA is filed under the name uncultured bacterium. RNAcentral describes it as "partial 16S ribosomal RNA". It matches the Rfam family "Bacterial small subunit ribosomal RNA", at positions 524 to 776 of the family's 1533-position model. The record is from RNAcentral.